Raphanus sativus (radish) is the source of this 1119-nucleotide long non-coding RNA. RefSeq lists it as uncharacterized. The record is from RefSeq and is a predicted model, not a curated record. Lineage: Eukaryota; Viridiplantae; Streptophyta; Magnoliopsida; Brassicales; Brassicaceae. The transcript is spliced from 6 exons.
AGUGGGCUCGCCGUGUUGGACUUCGUCUGAUAAUUUGAUGCGAUGUUGUGGCCCUGAUAAUGAAAACCCUAAUGAAUUGAACUUUGCUCUUCGGUCUCAUCGAUGCGUCUGUGUAACUGUGGCGAUGGCGUUUGAGUUUCAUAACGGAGGCGUCGUGAUUACUCCGACUUUAAUCCUGCUGUCUUAAAUGGUGAUUGCGAACUCUCCAGAUGCAUCGUUCAGUCGUCAAAUUGGGUGUUUGUCGGUUGUGGAGGCUAGGAAUAUCAAGCGUGGUGGAGAGUUUAUGUGGGUCGAUAUGCUCCUGUUGGAUGUCAAUGAUUGUUAAAGCUGAAAUCAUGGCGGUACAGAUGUUGGAGAAGAAGUAUUGAUCCCUAUGAUUCAGCUAAGGUGACAAGAGACAGAGCAUUGAGAUAAUGGUUGAUAGAGAAAACUGGAGAAAACAUAAACAUAGACUUUGGUUCUGGAUAAUCUAGAGAUCCUGAGACAAAGGCAUGGUUAGAGCAACAUAAACAUUCGGUGUGAUCACCUCCACCACCAAUCGCACAAACAUACCAAACGAUUGGCCUCGGAAAUUAAGUUACAUGGGUUUUUUUUUGUGUUGCUCUUUGUUCUCUCAUUCACAAUUUCUGGUGAGCUACUAUUCUACUUUCACUUCUGGAAAGCAUGAAGUUCUCAAUUUUUAAGGUCAUAUUUCCCCAUCCGAGGUUGGUUUCUUCUUCCAUAAUAAUGAAAGAUUCUUCUAUACAAAUCUACAUCAGCUAAUGGUGUUUUACCAAAGAUUUUGUGAGGACUGAUGGUGCAACAACAUUGUAGAAGUUUGCUGGAGGGAUUUACAAAGACUCAGAUGGGAAGUUUGGAGGUCAAAAAAAGAGAGAUAACACCAGCUGGAGCAACAAGAGAGUAGAAACAGAGGUGAACCAAGUUUUGUUGAUUAUGGAAGAAAGAAAAUACUCUGACGUUUUUAAUAUGUUGAUGCAUAGUAAUGCUUUUGUUUUGUCAAUCUGCAUAGUAAUUGAGUAGGAAAGAAUGGAAAACUUCCAAAUACGGUAUUUGCUUUUGAGUUAUUUUAUAUUAUAACUACAGUGAUAAUGAAGCUUUGAUGAAUAUUUUUUUAUAUUA